GAGUAAUACAUCGGAACGUGCCUAGUAGUGGGGGAUAACUACUCGAAAGAGUGGCUAAUACCGCAUGAGAUCUACGGAUGAAAGCAGGGGAUCGCAAGACCUUGUGCUACUAGAGCGGCCGAUGGCAGAUUAGGUAGUUGGUGGGAUAAAAGCUUACCAAGCCAACGAUCUGUAGCUGGUCUGAGAGGACGAUCAGCCACACUGGGACUGAGACACGGCCCAGACUCCUACGGGAGGCAGCAGUGGGGAAUUUUGGACAAUGGGCGAAAGCCUGAUCCAGCAAUGCCGCGUGCAGGAUGAAGGCCUUCGGGUUGUAAACUGCUUUUGUACGGAACGAAAAGCUUCGGGUUAAUACCCUGAAGUCAUGACGGUACCGUAAGAAUAAGCACCGGCUAACUACGUGCCAGCAGCCGCGGUAAUACGUAGGGUGCAAGCGUUAAUCGGAAUUACUGGGCGUAAAGCGUGCGCAGGCGGUUUUGUAAGACAGAGGUGAAAUCCCCGGGCUCAACCUGGGAACUGCCUUUGUGACUGCAAGGCUAGAGUACGGCAGA
This 551-nucleotide ribosomal RNA is filed under the name uncultured bacterium. RNAcentral describes it as "bacterial SSU rRNA". It matches the Rfam family "Bacterial small subunit ribosomal RNA", at positions 108 to 655 of the family's 1533-position model. The record is from RNAcentral.